This 537-nucleotide ribosomal RNA is filed under the name Colletotrichum siamense. Its description in RNAcentral is "eukaryotic LSU rRNA". The stretch from base 185 to 338 matches the Rfam family "5.8S ribosomal RNA". Lineage: Eukaryota; Fungi; Ascomycota; Sordariomycetes; Glomerellales; Glomerellaceae. The record is from RNAcentral.
AGGGAUCAUUACUGAGUUUACGCUCUAUAUACCCUUUGUGAACAUACCUAUAACUGUUGCUUCGGCGGGUAGGGUCUCCGUGACCCUCCCGGCCUCCCGCCCCCGGGCGGGUCGGCGCCCGCCGGAGGAUAACCAAACUCUGAUUUAACGACGUUUCUUCUGAGUGGUACAAGCAAAUAAUCAAAACUUUUAACAACGGAUCUCUUGGUUCUGGCAUCGAUGAAGAACGCAGCGAAAUGCGAUAAGUAAUGUGAAUUGCAGAAUUCAGUGAAUCAUCGAAUCUUUGAACGCACAUUGCGCCCGCCAGCAUUCUGGCGGGCAUGCCUGUUCGAGCGUCAUUUCAACCCUCAAGCUCUGCUUGGUGUUGGGGCCCUACAGCUGAUGUAGGCCCUCAAAGGUAGUGGCGGACCCUCCCGGAGCCUCCUUUGCGUAGUAACUUUACGUCUCGCACUGGGAUCCGGAGGGACUCUUGCCGUAAAAACCCCCAAUUUUCCAAAGGUUGACCUCGGAUCAGGUAGGAAUACCCGCUGAACUUAA